Molecule: non-coding RNA, 202 nt
Filed under: Bacillus licheniformis
Lineage: Bacteria; Bacillati; Bacillota; Bacilli; Caryophanales; Bacillaceae
Also listed under: 1 other name
Description: T-box sequence
Rfam family: T-box leader
About the family: Uncharged tRNA acts as the effector for transcription antitermination of genes in the T-box leader family.
Source: RNAcentral
GAAGACGCGAUGAAGAGGAAUAGUAAACGAGCAAUGGCUAAAGAGAGUGAAAUCCACGGCUGAAAGAUUUCACAGCCCGCUUGCCUGUUGAACCUGCCCUCAGAGCGCUUAGGCAAACCUAAACGUAUCCCGCGUUACGGGGCAAGAGCUGAGCAUGUAUAUGCUAAUGAAGGUGGUACCGCGAAACCUUUUCGUCCUUUGC